UACAGAGGUCUCAAGCGUUGUUCGGAUUCAUUGGGCGUAAAGGGUGCGUAGGCGGCGCGGUAAGUCGGGUGUGAAAUCUCGGAGCUUAACUCCGAAACUGCAUUCGAUACUGCCGUGCUUGAGGACUGGAGAGGAGACUGGAAUUUACGGUGUAGCGGUGAAAUGCGUAGAUAUCGUAAGGAACACCGGUGGCGAAGGCGGCAUCCUGGACCAACACUGACGCUGAGGAGCGAAGGCCAGGGGAGCAAACGGG
Molecule: ribosomal RNA, 253 nt
Filed under: uncultured bacterium
Lineage: Bacteria
Description: partial 16S ribosomal RNA
Rfam family: Bacterial small subunit ribosomal RNA
Source: RNAcentral